This is a long non-coding RNA of Haliotis rubra (blacklip abalone), 284 nucleotides long. RefSeq lists it as uncharacterized. The record is from RefSeq and is a predicted model, not a curated record. The transcript has 3 exons. Lineage: Eukaryota; Metazoa; Mollusca; Gastropoda; Lepetellida; Haliotidae.
AAACCUCCUCCGUUACACGUGUGAGACAGCUGUUCUUCAUAUCAAACAUACAGAGAAACAUCCGUACGGACACAAUGUAGGUAAUCGCCCGAAAUGAUAACAGAACGAAUGUCUGUCUCGGGGAUGCUGUGCGUUGCAUAUUUUGUCAUUCCAAUAACAGCUGCCCCUUGCACGGAUCAACAACACUGUUCAGAGUGUCACGACAAGACCGGACAUUUGCGUCACUGAUUGUGAAGCUGAAAGGUAUUAUGAUUAGAAGUGCAGCUCAGAGCUGCAGCAAUGGA